Andrographis paniculata is the source of this 861-nucleotide RNA transcript. It is a transcript of the gene named protein yippee-like, with no coding region annotated. The record is from RefSeq and is a predicted model, not a curated record. The transcript has 7 exons. Lineage: Eukaryota; Viridiplantae; Streptophyta; Magnoliopsida; Lamiales; Acanthaceae.
ACAAAUUAUCAUCAAUGGAAGGCAAGAAAAAGUGGGAGAUGAUUCCGAGCAAGCACAAGAUGUGGUCUGCGCCGCUAUCGUCCAUUUAUUGCAUUAUUGUAAUUCAGGAUUCACUUUUCUGAAUUUGCCCACAUUGCAUUUCUCGACGUUUCCGUUGCCAAUCUCGAGAGAGGUGUGGAGAUGGGAAGAGUAUUUGCGGUGACUCUUGAAGGGAAGAUCUACAGUUGCAAGCACUGUGGGACUCAUCUUGGUCUCAACGAAGACAUCCUCUCCAAGUCUUUUCACUGCCGACACGGAAAGGCCUAUCUCUUCAAUAAAGUGGUGAACGUGACUUUUGGUGAGAAAGAGGAAAGAAUGAUGAUGACUGGAGCACACACUGUGGCUGAUUUAUUCUGUGUCCAAUGCGGUUCAAUUGUCGGAUGGAAAUACGAACUUGCUCAUGAAAAGAGUCAAAAGUACAAAGAAGGAAAAUCUGUGCUUGAGCGGUUUAAGAUUCUUGGCCCGGAUGGAAACCAUUAUUGGGUCAACCACGAAGCACAUGUUGGUGGCAGCGACACUGACGACAUCUGAAGGUAGACACACAAUCUUACCAUUGGAGGACUUGGCUGUGUUCAAAUAAAUCCUGACUAGACGGGACGAAAUGAGCCGAGCUUGUUUGAAAUGGAUUCGGUGAUGUUAAAGUUCUUUAUCCUUGGUCUGAGUCGAAGUUUUCAAAUGAUGUUAAAGUUCACUAUGUUUCAUGGUAGGUCGUAUUGACUGUUGUUAUUAUGCUUAUUAUUUUUAAUAUGAAUACACUAUAUGAUCUGAUAUUAAAUGAUAAUAGUUUAUACAAUAUAUACUAUAAUAAAUUUCAUCAUAAAA